This 469-nucleotide ribosomal RNA is filed under the name uncultured bacterium. RNAcentral's name for it is "partial 16S ribosomal RNA". It matches the Rfam family "Bacterial small subunit ribosomal RNA", at positions 28 to 507 of the family's 1533-position model. The record is from RNAcentral.
GACGAACGCUGGCGGCGUGCUUAACACAUGCAAGUCGAACGGAAAGGCCCUGCUUGCAGGGUGCUCGAGUGGCGAACGGGUGAGUAACACGUGGGUGAUCUGCCCCUUACUUUGGGAUAAGCCUGGGAAACUGGGUCUAAUACUGGAUAGGACCAUGCUGUAGGUGGUGUGGUGGAAAGAUUAGUUUCGGUAAGGGAUGAGCUCGCGGCCUAUCAGCUUGUUGGUGGGGUAAUGGCCUACCAAAGCGUCGACGGGUAGCCGGCCUGAGAGGGUGGACGGCCACAUUGGGACUGAGAUACGGCCCAGACUCCUACGGGAGGCAGCAGAGGGGAAUAUUGCACAAUGGGCGCAAGCCUGAUGCAGCGACGCCGCGUGGGGGAUGACGGCCUUCGGGUUGUAAACUCCUUUCAGCCAUGACGAAGCCCUUGUGGUGACGGUAGUGGUAGAAGAAGCACCGGCUAACUACGUG